CGUAGGGGGCUAGCGUUGUCCGGAAUCAUUGGGCGUAAAGCGCGUGUAGGCGGUCCGGUAAGUCCGCUGUGAAAGUCGGGGGCUCAACCCUCGGAUGCCGGUGGAUACUGUCGGGCUGGAGUACGGAAGAGGCGAGUGGAAUUCCUGGUGUAGCGGUGAAAUGCGCAGAUAUCAGGAGGAACACCAAUUGCGAAGGCAGCUCGCUGGGACGUUACUGACGCUGAGACGCGAAAGCGUGGGGAGCAAACAGGAUUAGAUACCCUGGUAGUCCACGCUGUAAACGAUGGGCACUAGGUGUGGGGGGUGUCGACUCCCUCCGUGCCGAAGCUAACGCAUUAAGUGCCCCGCCUGGGGAGUACGGCCGCAAGGCUA
RNAcentral lists this ribosomal RNA (372 nucleotides) under uncultured organism. RNAcentral describes it as "bacterial SSU rRNA". It matches the Rfam family "Bacterial small subunit ribosomal RNA", at positions 526 to 896 of the family's 1533-position model. The record is from RNAcentral.